AGCAGCCGCGGUAAUUCCAGCUCCAAUAGCGUAUAUUAAAGUUGUUGCAGUUAAAAAGCUCGUAGUUGAAUUUCGGGAUCAAAGGAUCGGUCAUGCCUUGGUAUGUACUGGUUUUAUUGGUUCUCACCUUCUAAAGAACCAUAAUGUCAUUCAUUUGAUGUUAUGGGGAAUUAGGACUGUUACCUUGAAAAAAUUAGAGUGUUUAAAGCAGGCUUACGCUUGAAUACAUUAGCAUGGAAUAAUGAAAUAGGACAUCAGAUUCUAUUUUGUUGGUUUCUAGGAUCGAUGUAAUGAUUAAUAGGGAUAGUUGGGGGCAUUAGUAUUCAAUUGUCAGAGGUGAAAUUCUUGGAUUUAUUGAAGACUAACUACUGCGAAAGCAUUUGCCAAGGAUGUUUCAUU
Molecule: ribosomal RNA, 399 nt
Filed under: uncultured Glomus
Lineage: Eukaryota; Fungi; Glomeromycota; Glomeromycetes; Glomerales; Glomeraceae
Description: SSU rRNA
Rfam family: Eukaryotic small subunit ribosomal RNA
Source: RNAcentral